CUUCAGCGAGCCGAGCCGCAGCGGGCGGUCGGCGCCGCGGCCCUGGCCGUACGUCGCGAGCAGUGCCUGCGCCUC
Non-coding RNA from Streptomyces auratus AGR0001, 75 nucleotides. The record is from Rfam. Lineage: Bacteria; Bacillati; Actinomycetota; Actinomycetes; Kitasatosporales; Streptomycetaceae.